GCGGGGAUAGCUCAGUUGGGAGAGCGUCAGACUGAAGAUCUGAAGGUCGCGUGUUCGAUUUUCGCUCACCGCA
This is a transfer RNA of Brassica oleracea var. oleracea, 73 nucleotides long. It matches the Rfam family "tRNA". Rfam says of the family: Transfer RNA (tRNA) molecules are approximately 80 nucleotides in length. Their secondary structure includes four short double-helical elements and three loops (D, anti-codon, and T loops). Further hydrogen bonds mediate the characteristic L-shaped molecular structure. tRNAs have two regions of fundamental functional importance: the anti-codon, which is responsible for specific mRNA codon recognition, and the 3' end, to which the tRNAs corresponding amino acid is attached (by aminoacyl-tRNA synthetases). tRNAs cope with the degeneracy of the genetic code in two manners: having more than one tRNA (with a specific anti-codon) for a particular amino acid; and 'wobble' base-pairing, i.e. permitting non-standard base-pairing at the 3rd anti-codon position. NCBI's taxonomy places the organism in Eukaryota, Viridiplantae, Streptophyta, Magnoliopsida, Brassicales, Brassicaceae. The record is from Rfam.